AGCUUUGCACGGUGGCACUGUCAGAACCAAUGAGGUUUAUCUGAGGCGUGAUUACUGCCAAUUGAAAACUUUCCCCAAUAAUCCUAGAAUUUGCAUUUCCUGUGCAUUGUGAAAGUUUUUACCGUGUUACAGCU
Molecule: small nuclear RNA, 134 nt
Organism: Ailuropoda melanoleuca (giant panda)
Lineage: Eukaryota; Metazoa; Chordata; Mammalia; Carnivora; Ursidae
Gene: U4
Rfam family: U4 spliceosomal RNA
About the family: U4 small nuclear RNA (U4 snRNA) is a component of the major U2-dependent spliceosome. The structure of U4 snRNA from yeast and human has been reported. U4 snRNA presents a k-turn RNA motif in the 5p-SL related to recognition of Snu13 protein.
Source: Ensembl